CCGACCUUGUGUGGUAUCUUUCUGAACUCCCUCGACCGUCCGAGCUUCCAUAAUACCAUCCGAACUUCUCCGAUAAUGAGCUCCUCCAUUCAUCUACCAGGCUGCUCCAAACGCUUUCUGAGCUUCACUAUCAGUCGAUUUUCUACAGUAACCAGACUCCAUCCAUGUUUCUACGGUGGUCGACUGCCUUCCGAAUUUUAUCUGGGCUCCUACAAGAGCCAAACUUCAUCCAAACUUCUAUAGUGGAUGGAUCCCAGACGAACUUCUACAACGGAUAGGCUCCACCAGCCGAAUCUCUACUCCGAACUUCUUCCAGACUUCAUCAAUGAUCGAGCUUCUCCAGCAGUGGGACUUCCACAAUAAAAAGUCUCCAUCCGAGCUUCCAUGACAAUUGGUCUUCGUCCAAGCUUCUACAAUAAGCGGACUUCAUCCGGACUCCUACAAGAGUCGGACUCCAUUCAAACUUCUGCAACAGAAUUGAAUCCCAGACUCCUCCAACAUUCGACCUUCCACAGUGUCCUC
This 522-nucleotide long non-coding RNA is filed under the name Elaeis guineensis (African oil palm). Its description in RNAcentral is "long non-coding RNA (EGUI_LNC055436)". Lineage: Eukaryota; Viridiplantae; Streptophyta; Magnoliopsida; Arecales; Arecaceae. The record is from RNAcentral.